RNAcentral lists this ribosomal RNA (301 nucleotides) under uncultured bacterium. RNAcentral's name for it is "partial 16S ribosomal RNA". It matches the Rfam family "Bacterial small subunit ribosomal RNA", at positions 509 to 807 of the family's 1533-position model. The record is from RNAcentral.
CAGUCGCCACGGGAAUACGUAGGUGGCAAGCGUUGUCCGGAAUUAUUGGGCGUAAAGGGCUCGCAGGCGGUUUCUUAAGUCUGAUGUGAAAGCCCCCGGCUCAACCGGGGAGGGUCAUUGGAAACUGGGAAACUUGAGUGCAGAAGAGGAGAGUGGAAUUCCACGUGUAGCGGUGAAAUGCGUAGAGAUGUGGAGGAACACCAGUGGCGAAGGCGACUCUCUGGUCUGUAACUGACGCUGAGGAGCGAAAGCGUGGGGAGCGAACAGGAUUAGAUACCCGGGUAGUCCCUGUCUCUUAUAC